GAUGAACGCUGGCGGCGUGCUUAACACAUGCAAGUCGAACGAAACACCUUAUUUGAUUUUCUUCGGAACUGAAGAUUUGGUGAUUGAGUGGCGGACGGGUGAGUAACGCGUGGGUAACCUGCCCUGUACAGGGGGAUAACAGUCAGAAAUGACUGCUAAUACCGCAUAAGACCACAGCACCGCAUGGUGCAGGGGUAAAAACUCCGGUGGUACAGGAUGGACCCGCGUCUGAUUAGCUGGUUGGUGAGGUAACGGCCCACCAAGGCGACGAUCAGUAGCCGGCUUGAGAGAGUGAACGGCCACAUUGGGACUGAGACACGGCCCAAACUCCUACGGGAGGCAGCAGUGGGGAAUAUUGCACAAUGGGGGAAACCCUGAUGCAGCGACGCCGCGUGAGUGAAGAAGUAUUUCGGUAUGUAAAGCUCUAUCAGCAGGGAAGAAAAUGACGGUACCUGACUAAGAAGCCCCGGCUAACUACGU
RNAcentral lists this ribosomal RNA (480 nucleotides) under uncultured bacterium. RNAcentral describes it as "partial 16S ribosomal RNA". It matches the Rfam family "Bacterial small subunit ribosomal RNA", at positions 28 to 506 of the family's 1533-position model. The record is from RNAcentral.